AACCCUAAUCCAAAGUGUAUUAGGAGUAGGUUAGGUUAUGUGUAUUAUAUAUAGGGCUCAUUUUCAUGUUUAAUAUCAAGAUAUAUAUUUUUCUCCCGUGCUUUCUCAUAUGGUAUUAGAGCUACAGUGAGAAUAUUAUAGUUGUUCGCAUUUUUCGGUAUAUAAAAUCAACUCCAGGUAAAGGUUUAUUGUUUGAGGAUCAAGGCCAUGAGCAGA
RNAcentral lists this long non-coding RNA (216 nucleotides) under Nicotiana benthamiana. RNAcentral's name for it is "long non-coding RNA (NBEN_LNC000506)". Lineage: Eukaryota; Viridiplantae; Streptophyta; Magnoliopsida; Solanales; Solanaceae. The record is from RNAcentral.